CUCAGAGACCAUCAGGCCUGGCUCUCCUUCCAGCUGGCGCUGGCUCAUCUCUUCAGAGAGGUUGUGGGUGUCUCCUCCUCCUCACUUCUCCCUCCCAGGGUGCACUGGCUGACUGCUUGAGGCAGCUGAGGACCAGCGGGCCUGGACACUGCGGAACUGGGCCUGGUACUUCUUGCUUUUGAAAACACUCCUGAAGCCUGUACCUCAGGCUCCCACCUCCUGGAAUUCCUCUGCCUGGGGAUUGAUCCAAGCUUUGUGGGACUUGCAGCUUAAACAAUUCAGAGGCUUUUUUAAGAAAGAAGACAAAAUUAGAUCUGAAAAUAUUUAGGAUGACACAAGAAAUCACAACAAAUUGGUGAGGCAGGAGAUUCAAGGCCCUUCCU
This 383-nucleotide long non-coding RNA is filed under the name Canis lupus familiaris (dog). Its description in RNAcentral is "lncRNA (ENSCAFG00000056180.1)". Lineage: Eukaryota; Metazoa; Chordata; Mammalia; Carnivora; Canidae. The record is from RNAcentral.